This 270-nucleotide ribosomal RNA is filed under the name uncultured bacterium. Its description in RNAcentral is "partial 16S ribosomal RNA". It matches the Rfam family "Bacterial small subunit ribosomal RNA", at positions 28 to 299 of the family's 1533-position model. The record is from RNAcentral.
GACAAACGCUGGCGGCGUGCAUAAAACAUGCAAGUCGAACGGACCAAAGCCCGCAAGGGCUGAGGUGAGUGGCGAACGGCUGAGUAACACGUAGGUGACCUGCCCCGAAGUGGGGGACAACUCGUCGAAAGACGAGCUAAUACCGCAUGUGAUCACUGAUUCAUUUCAGUGCUCAAAGUCGCAAGACGCUUUGGGAGGGGCCUGCGGCCGAUUAGCUAGUUGGUGGGGUAAUGGCCUACCAAGGCCGCGAUCGGUAGUUGGUCUGAGAGG